AGUGAACGCUGGCGGUAGGCCUAACACAUGCAAGUCGAACGGCAGCACAGUAAGAGCUUGCUCUUACGGGUGGCGAGUGGCGGACGGGUGAGGAAUACAUCGGAAUCUACUUUUUCGUGGGGGAUAACGUAGGGAAACUUACGCUAAUACCGCAUACGACCUACGGGUGAAAGCAGGGGAUCUUCGGACCUUGCGCGAUUGAAUGAGCCGAUGUCGGAUUAGCUAGUUGGCGGGGUAAAGGCCCACCAAGGCGACGAUCCGUAGCUGGUCUGAGAGGAUGAUCGGCCACACUGGAACUGGAACACGGUCCAGACGCCUACGGGAGGCAGCAGUGGGGAAUAUUGGACAAUGGUCGCAAGCCUGAUCCAGCCAUACCGCGUGGGUGAAGAAGGCCUUCGGGUUGUAAAGCCCUUUUGUUGGGAAAGAAAAGCAGCAGGUUAAUACCCCGCUGUUCUGACGGUACCCAAAGAAUAAGCACCGGCUAACUUCGUG
Molecule: ribosomal RNA, 492 nt
Filed under: uncultured bacterium
Lineage: Bacteria
Description: partial 16S ribosomal RNA
Rfam family: Bacterial small subunit ribosomal RNA
Source: RNAcentral